Molecule: ribosomal RNA, 253 nt
Filed under: uncultured bacterium
Lineage: Bacteria
Description: partial 16S ribosomal RNA
Rfam family: Bacterial small subunit ribosomal RNA
Source: RNAcentral
UACGUAGGGUGCAAGCGUUGCCCGGAUUUAUUGGGCGUAAAGGGCGCGCAGGCGGCUACGCACGUCCGUUGUGAAAUCGCUCGGCUCAACUGGGCGGGGUCGGCGGAUACGGCGUAGCUGGAGCAAGCUAGGGGGCAAUGGAAUUCCCGGUGUAGUGGUGGAAUGCGUAGAUAUCGGGAGGAACACCAGUGGCGAAGGCGGCCAGCUAGACCAGUUCUGACACUGAGGCGCGAUAGCGUGGGGAGCAAACAGG